AGAGUUUGAUUAUGGCUCAGGACGAACGCUGGCGGCGUGCUUAACACAUGCAAGUCGAACGAAGAGCGAUGGAAGCUUGCUUCUAUCAAUCUUAGUGGCGAACGGGUGAGUAACGCGUAAUCAACCUGCCCUUCAGAGGGGGACAACAGUUGGAAACGACUGCUAAUACCGCAUACGAUCCAACCUCGGCAUCGAGGAUGGAUGAAAGGUGGCCUCUAUUUAUAAGCUAUCACUGAAGGAGGGGAUUGCGUCUGAUUAGCUAGUUGGAGGGGUAACGGCCCACCAAGGCAAUGAUCAGUAGCCGGUCUGAGAGGAUGAACGGCCACAUUGGGACUGAGACACGGCCCAG
This 349-nucleotide ribosomal RNA is filed under the name uncultured bacterium. Its description in RNAcentral is "bacterial SSU rRNA". It matches the Rfam family "Bacterial small subunit ribosomal RNA", at positions 8 to 334 of the family's 1533-position model. The record is from RNAcentral.